UUAGUUCAUAUAUUUUAUUGCAUUUAUAUUAAUGCAAUAAAAUAUAUGUAUAUUGUUUUCGGUUUGGGGGUACAUGUGAAGAACGUGAAAGAUUGUUGCAUAGGUACAUACAUGGCAAUGUGGUUUGCUGCCUUCCUCCCCAUCACCUAUAUCUGGCAUUUCUCCCCAUGUUAUCCUUCCCCAACUCCCCACCCACUGCUGUUCCUCCCCUAGUUCCCCCUGACAGACCCCAGUGUGUGAUGCUCCCCUCCCUGUGUUUAUGUGUUCUCAUUGUUCAACACUCACCUAUGAAUGAGAACAUGUGGUGUCUGAUUUUCUGUUCUUGUGUCAGUUUGCUGAGAAUGAUGGUUUCCAGAUUCAUCCAUGUCCCUACAAAGGACAUGAACUCAUCGUUUUUUAUGGCUGCAUAGUAUUCCAUGGUGUAUAUGUACCACAUUGUCCCUGUUCAGUCUAUCAUCGACGGGCAUUUGGGUUGGUUCCAAGUCUUUGUUAUUGUAAAAAGUGCUGCAAUGAACAUAUGUGUGCAUGUGUCCUUAUAAUAGAACAAUUUAUAAUCCAUUGGAUAUAUACCCAGUAAUGGGAUUGCUGGGUCAAAUGGAAUUUCUAUUUCUAGGUCCUUGAGGAAUUGCCACACUGUCUUCCACAAUGGUUAAACUAAUUUACACUCCCACCAACAGUGUAAAAGUGUUCCUAUUUCUCCAUAUCCUCUUCAGCAUCUGUUGUCUCCAGAUUUUUUAAUGGUUGACAUUUUAACUGGUGUGAGAUGGUAUCUCAAUGUAGUUUUGAUUUGCAUUUCUCUAAUGACCAGUGAUGAUGAGCAUUUUUACAUGUUUGUUGACCUCAUACAUGUCUUCUUUUGUAAAGUGUCUGUUCAUAUCCUUCACCCACUUUUGAAAGGGCUUGUUUUUUUCUUGUAAAUCUGUUCUUUGUAGAUUCUGGAUAUUAGCCCUUUGUCAAAUGGGUAGAUUGCAAAAAUGUUUUCCCAUUCUGUUGGUUGCUGGUUCACUCUAAUGAUUGUUUCUUUUGCUGUGCAGAAGCUCUGGAGUUUAAUUAGAUCCCAUUUGUCUAUUUUGGUUUUUGUUGCGAAUGCUUUUGGUGUUUUAGUCAUGAAGCUCUUGCCUAUGCCUCUGUCCUGAAUGGUUUUGCCUAGAUUUUCUUCUAGGGUUUAUAUGGUGUUAGGUCUUAUGUUUAAGUCUUUAAUCCAUCUGGAGUUAAUUUUAGUGUAAGGUGUCAGGAAGGGGUCCAGUUUCUGCUUUCUACAAAAUUUACGAAAGCCUCUCUCCAGGAGGACACACAUACAAUUUGUGUUUCAUAUCGGGCAACUGUGGACAGCUUGAGUGCAGUUACACUGAGCACCUUAGGUUCAUAACUCCUAUAAGAAAAGAUCAGCAGUGGAAAAGAAGUGAGAAGACUUUGUUUCUCAUCUCUCCCUCUGAAAACUGUGUGGAAUUGGUCACGUCCUACUAGAUUUAUCUCAUUGUUCUUUGUUUCGAAUCCCCCACCUUCUUUAUACCAAAUUUUCUAGAUUUCUGUGUGAUUCUCCUUUAAAAAGAAGACUUCUUUCAUAAGAAGCCUUAGACUAAUUAUCUGUUUACAGUUUGGUUUUUUUAAUUGAAACUUUCUCUUAAUUUCCUCCCGCUCUUUGGGAAUUGAUUUCCCCCGACACACUUUAAGAAACAUGCUCUUUUUGGCCCCUGGGGGCUCCCAUUUGAACAACUACUUUUUUCCUGUCGUUGAACUGAUUCAAUGUGAGGCCCAUGUCCCUCUUUCCUUGGCUAUUAGUAUAGUUUCUUAACUCAAAUCUGAAUAGAAUUUUCUUGAAAUGAAACCCCAAUAACCAGCAUCUAAGUUCCCAGGCUUUUAAAUAAACAACAGAGUAUUAAUUACAGAGACUCUUUAUUUUCACCCUCUGAUACUCUCAGGAUCCCAUGUGAGAGAUUCAGGAGCUGGCAUGGAACUAGCUCAUACUUCCUCUCCCGAGAUCAGCGCGUUCAGACUUCACUGGCUGCUGGUACCAGGGUGAAUAGACUUUGAAGCCUCACAUUUGGGAAUGUUACUCUGACCCUCUCACUGCACUACUCCCCACUUGGACCCUCUUCAUUCUGGGGCUCCUCCCAGAUCUCCCCUUCAGGAUGAGGCACUCCUUUCCCUAAGUGCUAGGAAUGCUGCCUAGUGAUGGUCCUCAGAUGAGUCCUUCCCCCACGAAUUGCUCUUGACUGAAGAGAGCCUCCUCACUAACGGUUAGGACCCUUACCAAGGGGCAGACCAUGUCCAAUGACAGGUCAUUGCGGAACCCUUGCUUCAGUUCAGGGUAACCUGGAGGAGAUGUCUGAGCUCUAGAGCUCCUUGUGCGGUGAGUCGAGGCUGCUGUUGUGACUGCAUAGCAGCCCCACUCCUUCCUCUGCCCAGUCCAGCUUCCCAUCCUCUCUCCUUAUGCUGUCCCAAGAGCCAUCUGCAACAAUCCACCUGCAGCCAAUUUAUCUCAGAGUCUGUUUGCUAGGGAACCAGGGCUCUAAAAUGCUCAGGCGUUGAGGCAUUCUAGAAAACUGUGCUCUUAGGAGAGCUAACGUUGCAAUGUGCAUCAGUUGUUUUUCCCAGCCCAGCAUCCUUUGACCCUUCUUGUAACAAGCAGCUUCCGGAUUUUCCUUUAGAUAGCCACACCUCCUACCUCUGGGCUCUUGAUGCAAUAGGGUUGAGCCCAACCCUUCCCAACCACCUACCUCACCCAGGCCUGCCACAUCACCCCAGCCACAGUAAUUGGUUCAGGGAUGGCACGUGACCUCAGCUGGGCCAGUGACAGCCCUUUCUGGGACUUGUGCUGAAACCCUGGAGACAAAUGAGCCCUUUGUGUCUCAGAGUUGCCGAACUGACUGAAUGAACUAUCUUGCAUUUUCUGCACAUGUACCCCAAAACCUAAAAUGCAAUAAAUAAAAAAAAAAUUUCGGACUGAGCAUGGUGGCUCACGCCUAUAAUCCCAGCACUUUGGGAAGUCGAGUCAGAAGGAUCACUCGAGGCCAGAUGUCUGAGGCACAUUGACUAGGGAAGGAGAAAUUUGCUUCCCGAUUCCCCUUUCUCUGUACAGCAAAAACAGAUAUAGAAGAGUGGAAAAUGUCCCUGAGAAAGGAGGAUGUCUGACAGCUCCAGGUAGUAAAACCUCCUCAAUUAGUAUGAAAGUAGCACUCAUUAUUUUUGCACAAAGAGAAAUGCUUUCGCCAAUCCCUGCAGCUCCUCUUUAUCACUUUCGAGUGUGUUUAUUUUGACGGCCUUUAUUUAUACUUUUUUUUCAUUCGUACAUCAGAAAUAUGGCCCCAUCUGGAGACGGUGCACAACUUGAUGCUUUUCAUGACCCUUCCAAUCAGGAGUAACUACAGCUGUCGGGGGAGCACUGAAGAAAUGUCAAUUAGCUAUAAAAGUUCCACAAACAAGCAUUAUGUCUUCCUCUUAUGAGUCCCAGUGCAGCUCAAAAUUGAGCAAUAAUGUCCACAGUUAAAAAUGGCUGUUGGGGGCCCGAGCACUCUCUUUUCCCAUUAAUAAUUGCUCAGCACCAGAGCUGGAGUCACCGCGUGUGGAUGGUGGAGCCCAGGUCGCUGAGGGUAUUUGCGUUAGAAACAGUGACAGCACACAUCAUGUUUCUGAGUGGAGAAUGGCACUGCAUCCCUCCAUGUUCACACCAAUGGCUGAACCCAUCCCUCUGGGCUCAGGAUUUGAGCCACCUUGCACGGUCCUCCUACCUCUGGGUUCCUCUUCUCCGGUUAUCUGCACCCUGGCUGUUUGCGUCUGAAAAUCACAUCAGGAUGGCCCUGGGCUUGGGGAGGAAUUGGAGAGCAGUCUGCCUUCUGGUGUCACUCUUUGGGAUGGUCCAGGACCUUUAUUUGCAUGUGGCCUUUAUUUACAGACAAGUGCUCUGCCCUCCAGGUGAAAAGGCAAAGAAAGUCUUUAUUCUGCAAGUGAAACCAAGCACCUGCGGCCAGUGGAGGUGAUUUGCCUUGACAUGUGAAACGUAAUGAAGCCUUAUUUACAAACGCAGCUGGGCCAAGGGCUGUAAUUUGCCAAUUUUUAAAAUUUUAUUUCUAGCUUUAUUGAGGUUUAAUUGACAAAUAAAAAUGAUAUACAUUCGAGGUGUAUAAUAUGAUAUUUUGAUACAUAUAUAUAUAUAUAUACAGUGAAAUUAUCAUUCUUAAGGACAAUUAACAUACCCGUCACCUCACAGUUACUGUUUGUGUGUGUGUGUGUGGUGAGAAUAUUUAAGAUCUACUCCUAGCAAGUUUCAAGUACACAAUAUAUUAUCAUUAAUGAUAGUCACCAAGCUGUAUGUUAGGUCUUAUAACUGCAAGUUUGUUGGGGGCUGCGGGAAAUCAGGAACUGUUGGUCAAAGGGUACGAAUUUGCAAUUCAUUAUUUUUUUAAAUGCUGCAUUAAAGUAUUAAUUAUCAUUAUAAUCAACGUUUUUGUGCCCCUUAAAUCUUAUGCCUGAGGCUAGUGCCUCACCCCCCUCACCCUAGUCCUAGUUCUGCCUUCACCAGAAAGGACGUGGGCGUGGUCCUUCCGCAAGGUCUCAGCUGUGUGUUCCAAGAACUCUCAUAUUUAGUAGAGGCGGGUAAGAGAGUUUCAGCCAUGCCUUGUGUGGAGAUGGCGUCUGGAAAAAGCACACAUACAGUCCUUGGUUCCAAUUCUUGUGCCGCAACCAUGUGACCUUCAGCAAGUCAUCUGACAUCUCUGAGCGUAGGGCUUCUCAUCUACCAAGCGGACAUCAUAGUAUCAACCUCAGAGUAUGGCCGUGAAGAUUAAAUACAGUAAACGAUGUCAGGUGGCCUGCAUUCAAUUAGUGACACUGGACAAAUGUUUAUGGAGUGAAUAAUCAAUGCACAAAAUGUUGAUUUGAAGGACAGGAGGAUUUUUAUCAGAUUGCUUUCUGAUCAGCUGGACCUUCUUCUUUUUUUUUUUUUUUUUUGUCUUCUUACUUUCUAUAUCAAGUCAUGGUGAUGUCUAUACAUGUUUAUGUUUUGUGCUAGACCUGAGGGCAUGUAUGCAUAGGAAGCAUCUCGUAUUUGUUGUAUGAAUAGAAAGAGAGCUUUUUUUUUUUUCUGAGAUGGAGUCUCACUCUGUCUCUGAGGCUGGAAUGCAGUGGUGCGAUCUUGGCUCACUGCAACCUCCACUUCUCAGGUUCAAGCCAUUCUCCUGCCUCAGCCUCCCAAGUAGCUGGGAUUACAGGUGCCUGCCACCGAACCUGGCUAAUUUUUCUAUUUUUAGUAGAGAUGGGUUUUCACCAUGUUGGCCAGGCUGGUCUCAAACUCCUGACCUCAGGUGAUCCACCUGCCUCUGCAUCCCAAAGUACUGGGAUUACAGGCAUGAGCCACUGUGCCCGGCCAAAGAGAGCUUAUAAAUGAGCAAUGAUAUGAAUGAAUAUGGAAUCAGGCAAUGCGGUCAAAUCCCCACUGUGUAGGUGACCUGAGUCAUUUUCACUAUUGCCUACAAGGUUCUUAGGGGGCUUAGACACAAAGAAGGUAAGUUCAGGGCUGGGCACUGUGGCUCACGCCUAUAAUCCCAGCACUUUGGGAGGCCGAGGUGAGUGGAUCACGAGGUCAAGAGAUCGAGACCAUCCUGGUCAACAUGGUGAAACCCCGUCUCUACUAAAAAUACAAAAAAUUAGCUGGGCAUGGUGGCGCACGCCUGUAGUCCCAGCUACUCAGGAGGCUGAGGUAGGAGAACUGCUUGAACCCAGGAGGCAGAGGUUGCAGUGAGCUGAGAUUGCGCCAUUGCACUCCAGCCUGGGUAACAAGAGCGAAACUCCAUCUCAAAAAAAAAAAAAAAGAAGGUAAGUUCAAGAGCCUUAAAAGCUACAGUGACCCCAGUGAUUCUUAAGUAGAGUCACAUACAAAAAUCAUUGUGUGAGUUCUUCAAUGGACCCUCGCUCCAUUGAAGCAGAGCCUGGGUCCCUUGCUCUUCAGUGGGUUGGGAAUUGGAAGCAGCAAGGAGAAGAGAACUCAGAGCUUUUGCUGUGCUUCCAGGGGUGGUCCAUGGAUGCUGAGUUAAUUUAUAACUGUUCUAAAGUCAGAAAGUUCUGAGUCAUAAAGGAAAGACCAUGUCGGGGCUUUUCUGGAAAAAAGAUGUGAAGUGACAAGAUUAUAAGAUGAGCGACCAUGUAAUUUAUCAUUCAAACUGGCAUAAUUCUGAGAGUGAAAGAAGCUGCUGUUAAUAAUUACACUGGAGUAAAUGAUGCCAAUUCAGUCUGUUCUGGGCAAAGCAAGGCAUACAGUUAUCCUACUUCUAAAGCAACCCUGCAAAGAACCUCCUGCUCAGUGUUGGAAAGGACAAUGCCAUUUGUGCCACCGCCUGGUGGACAGCGCUGGCUUCUUUUGCAAAGAGGGCAGCCUCAUGCCUGCCCUCUGCAGCCAUUGCUGUAUCUGGGUCUGCUGUUUGGUGAUAGAACAGUUGUGCCUUCCUUUGCCUGCUGUGCCCUCUUUAUAGCCAGUAGUUUAACGUAUCUAAGAGCUGUGUCACCAUCCACGGCCACCAGCUGGCUCUGCUGUCACAUCUGGGUUCUCAUUUGAGUGAUGUCUCACAGAAGCCUGAAAAAUGGAAUCACAAGUGGAGAAGCCAGCAAAGGCAGAAUGCCAGAGGUGAGCAGUGUGGGCUGCUGAAUUGUCUUUUAGAUAAAUGCCUGAUGUUAGCACGGGAAAGAAUUGCAGAUAAUCAUUUAUUCUAAUAUCUCACUUAAUAUCCUCUCCCGCCACCUCAAUUUACUGUUGAGGAGAUAAAAUCAAAAGAGUAAUGUGCUCAAGUUUAUUAGUUCCUUCAAAUUUAUGUUUCUAGCCCACACUUUCUCCCUGGAUUCCAGAAUAUGCCACCAUCUCCUCGAUGUCUCGCUGGUGGAAAUAUCAAACUCAGGAUUUCCAAACAUGGCCUUGUGAUCUCUUCCCAAGCUGGGUCCACCCCUGUCCUUCUCACCUCGGCCAAGCCCUCUCUCUGUUGCUCAGGCCGAAACUCUUGGAGUUAACCUUGACUCUUGACAACUUCUCCUUCUUUCUCAUAACACACCUAAUCUAUUAGAAAAGACUAUUCCGAAUAUAUCCAGAGUCUGAUGCCUUUCACCACCCCCGUUGCUACCCCUGGCCCAAGCCACCACCUCUCACCUGGGUGGUCACAUUUGCCUGCUAACUGCUUCCACUCAGAACUUCCUACAGUUCUUUGUAUUUUUACUGAAUUGGAUGGCCGGAUGGGUCCUUUUAAAGCCUAAGUUAGGUUGUGUCACUCUUCUGCUCAAAGAAAAGCUAAAAUUCUGGGGUUUUUUCCCCCAUCUCUACUAAAAAUACAAAAAUUAGCCAACUGUGGUAGCUUGUGCCUGUAAUCCCAGCUACUCAGGAGGCUGAGGCAUGAGAAUCACCUAAACCCAGGAGGUGGAGGUUGCAGUGAGCCAAGAUCACACCACUGCACUCCAGCCUGGGUGACAGAGUGACUCCAACUCAAAAAAAAAAAAAAGGAAAAACGAAAAGCUGAAAUUCUUACUCUGUCCUACAAAUUCUACACAAACAACAUCCAACACCAUUACCGGUUCUGUUUUUACCUUGUAACAGGUGCUGCCUGUUCACAUGGCUACAGCCACUGUGGCCUCUUUGCUGUUCUUCAGAUAAAUCAGGCAUACCCCUCACCCCCGGACCUUUGCACCAACUGUGUCUUGAUCCUAGGACACUUUUUCCCCAGCUCCACUUGCUUAAAUUCCUCUAUGGCUACAAGACUUUGCUCAAAUGCAAGCUUCUAUUAAAACUGCUGUUCCUCAUUCUCUUUUCCUGUUUUAUUAUUCUGUAUAACAUUUGUUAUCUUCUCAAGUACCCUAUAAUUUAUUUAUUGUUUCCUAUGUAUUCUCUGAUUCCUUUGAGUGGAAAUUAAGAUCUCUGGAGGAAGGAAUUUGUGUGUUUUGUUUCCUGCUGUGAAAUCAGAGCGAGUAGCUGGAGCAAAGUAGGAAUUUGAGAAACAUUUGCUGAAUGAAUUAAUUCAGCAGCUAUUUACCCAAUGUCUUCCAGGUAUCAGACGCAUACUGGAGGUAUCAAGAUGGUUACAGCAAAAUCCUUCCUCUUAAGUGAGCCUGAGUCAGUGGGAUGGAGGCAAAGACAACCCUAAGGCAGUGUAAUCAUGAUAUACAACGGUGCUAAGGACCAGAGUCCCUGGCGUUAUUGUUCUACCGCAUGGGGGAGUGGAAUGAAAGCAAGUGACGUUUGCCCAGAGCAAGGGGUGCUGGUGCUGGAUCUUGACAAGCUGCCUGGAAUUUUACCUGGCAGUAGAGCAGGGUGACAGAACUGUCCCUCAUGUCUCAGUGGGUUUUCACUCUGCAUACUGAUUCAGAAAGCAGGCUUGGUCCCAGGGAAAAAAUGGAUAAGAAUUUCUUUUUGUGAUAACUGUGUUGUCCAGACAGCACUUCUUAACAGCAGAAGGAUGGCCUGAUGGCAUCCCAGGGCAUUCAAGUCACCAAAGUGAUCCAGUCUGCUGACCUCCUGGUGAAAUCUAAAGCGGUUUUCCUUUAAAGUAACCUGGGCAGGUGACCUCAUGGCACUACAGCUACCACACUGAGCAUCAUCCACCGGAAUCAGACAAUUCCAAUUUCCCCUGGACUGUCAGGAAGUCCUGAUUUUAAAAAUGGCUUUUGGUUUGUGAUUUCUUAGAAUAAUCUCGUUUAAGUCAAGGAGUUGUUUGCAGUGGAAUUCAGCUGUUUUUGCUGAGUUCAUUUGCCUCUGGGGAGUAAAAGGAUCACCAGACAUUUGUAAACUACUUCUGCAACAUAACAAAAGGAGAAAGCAGGCAUUGGGCAGGUGCUGCUUUCUGGCUUGGGAGCCUCUAGGACCAUAGGAUUGUUCUAAAUUCCAUGAUUACCUGCCCAGGUAGGUCUGACAGUUCUGGUGGUAGUGAGAGUGUACUGGUUAGCUAUUUGUGUGCGACAAAGUCUCUCUACACUUAGCAGCCUAAAACAACAACAGUUUGUCAUAUUCCACAAUUCUUCGAGUUGUCUAGGCCGAUCCUCUGACAGUUCUGUUUGUGCCCACUCAUGGGACUGCAUCCAGCUGGAGAGUCAGCAAGGCUGCAAGGUCCAACAUGGCCUUCCUCACCUUUCUGCCAGUUGGUGCUUUUAGCUAGGACACCCUGAUGCUCCUUUAUGUGGUAGUCUUCCAACAGAACAGCUUUCUUACAAUGAGGUCCUAGGAGGCUCAAAGGGGAUGAUAGAGGAAGUGGUAAGGCCCCCUUGAGGACUAGACAUGGAGCAAAGAUAGUUUCGCUGCUUCUACAUUCCAGUGGGCAAACUGAGUCACAAAUCCUGCCAAACUCAAAAGUCAGAAUAGAUUGAACUUUCUGAAGGGAGGAGCUAGCUGCAAAACUCUGUGGCCAUAUUCAACCUACCACAAUUUUCCAUUUGACUACAGUUAUUAAUAGUUCUCCCAGAUACAGAAUAAAUUUACCCCUCCCAAGAUCUUCAAAAAUCUCACCAGUUAUAUCAUAAGGCUCAGAAUCCUGGAGCUUGUGAUCUUCAUCUGUCUUGGAUACAGAAAAAGCCUCUUGGGUACAGCAGAUACUCUUGAUCCAGAAACUUGAGAAUUUAAAGCACCAUGGGACAGGGACUAGAUGAUGGAAUAGUCACUCUGAUUCAAAAAAGAAGAGCCAGAGGCACUAGCAGUCACUGGCACAUAGUAAUUCUGAAAUCUGGCCAGGCACAGGCACAUGUCAUCAGAGCUCUCUACCCAAGUCAGGGAAUAUUCUUUUACUAGGGCCUGGCUCUGCUCUCUGGGAAUAGUUUCCUAAUCAUCUGUUUUCCUUGGCCCUUAAAUUCACCUUCUAGGUUCUUGGCUAUACUCUUUGAAUUUCUUUUUCCUUCCAUAAAAGAGGGUUCAUGUUUGCAGCUUUCUUAGCCUGCUUUCUAACUGUAAACUUUGUGUUUUUAACUGUGUCUGUUUUCUUUAGUCUGAGCUGCUACAGCUCCUUUAAAAAUGUUUUGGGUUUUCUGCAUAUCACAUUAUACUCCAUUAAACAAAAACCAUAUUCACAACUAUGUUUGAAAUAGAUUUCUUGCUACUUGGAUGGGAAAUUUCAGGGUGCUGUAGGACAAAGCCCUUAAGAUUGUUGUCUAGCUGAGAAGGUCUAUUAGACAAUAUAUUAAUUUUUCAGAGGGUCCUACACUUACAUUCUUGAUUUGAUCGUGAUUUGGAAGCCAUUUUCAUUUUUCCCUUGAGAAUCUUUUGCCUGUUGAAAAGACGAGAAGUAUUACAAAGAAGACCAGCUUUAUUUAGAAACUCAGUAUGUAUCAGAUCCUCUGUACUUUCUGCUUACAAAUAGAAGUGACUUUAGUACAUCUCUCUCUUCUCAUUCCUUAUCAUACUCAGCUAGAAAAAGCCAGUAACCAUUGUUAGCAUUCUGCCUCAUCAUCUCCUUAGGGAUACCCACACAUUCAUUAGUACAUUUCCUGUCUUUCAGAUUACUUCAGGCAAAAGUUUUGCCAAUUAUUCCUUAAUUGUAACUUGGUUUGCCCUUCUCCCAGCCUCUACUAGCAGUUUUCUCAAUACUAAUAGCUGCCUUAAUUCUCUAUCAGCCUCUGCCCAUUGCCCAGUCCCAAAGCCAAUGCCGUAUUAAUAGAGACUUUUUAAAAAAAUUUUUUGAAUAGCAGCACCCACUUCUAGGUACCAAUUUCUGUAUCAGUUAACUAUGCAGUAUUAGCAAAACAUUUCAGAACUUGAUGUCUUAAGAAAACAGUGACUCACUAUUUUAACAUUCUAUAGAGUGAUUCUUCUGCUGGUCUCACCUGGGAUUGCUCAUGUCGCUGCAUUCAGCUGGAAGGGUGACUGGGCUCAGCUAUGUUGACUGGAUCUUCCUCUCCAUGUUGUCUUUCAUUCCAGUUUCUUCACAUCCUGGAGUCUUCCUGGCCUGAUGGUCUUGGGGGAGCAUUCCCAGAGGUCAAGCCCAAAUUCCUAAGCACAAAUCAAACCUCUGCUUAUACCCAGUUAACUUGGCCAGAGCAAGACUCACGGACAAGUCCUGAGUCAGUGUGGGAGAGAACUGCACAGAGGUAUGAAUACUGAGAGGUGUUUCAUUGGGCUAUGACUGUUUGCAAAGAAGGAUAAAAGAGAUCACCAACCAGAUCUUUCUAAUCCAGGUCUCCUGUCCUCUCCUCUACCUGCUGACCUCUCUGGAGUCCUAACCUGCAGUUUCUGUGUGUGCUUUUGACUGUGGGUGCUAGAAAGGGUACCCAGGCAGCACCUAGGCCAACAUGCACAUCCUUAGCCCAUUGCCCUUAGUGAAGUUUUUGGGAGGCCAGGCUCUGCUUCCAGCUCUAAUUCUGAUCUUGAAUAUCCAGAUCAGAAUAUGCCCUUUUCUUCUCUAUAUAAUAUUCUUUGCACCACAAAAAGAAACUCCCUUUGGAGCUUGCCUCAGACAUGUAAGAACCCUGCAUCUAACACGACAAAAUUUCUCAAUGUUUAUGUUUAGUUGUUAUCUACAAGAGAGAAAGUCUCCUGUUUGUCGCAGUCAUCAUUAAAAUGGUCUCUAAUAACUCAGUCUCCUGGUAUUCAUACCCUCGUGUCAUCCUCUUCUCUGCGUGUGGGUGGGACUUGCUGAUAGGUCUAACCAAUAGAAUAUUGCAGGUGUGGUGUGAUGUCACUUCUGACAUUGGGUUAUAAAGGAGCUGUGGCUUUAGUCUGGGUGUGCUCUCACACUCUCACUUGGGUUGCUUACUCUGAGAAUCCAGCUGUCAAGCUGUCAUGCUGUGAUGCAGCCCUGUGGAAAGGCCCACAUCUGUGAGCCUGGAGGCUGAUCUUCUGAGGACUGCCCACAGCCAUGAAAGAGUGGGUGAGCUCAGAAGCUGGCCUUCCCCAAGCCAAGCCUUGAGACGACUGCAGUCCUGCCUGACACUUUGAUUGCAGUCUUGUGAGAGACUCUGAUCCAGCACCACCCAGCCAAGAUGCUCCUUCAUUCCUGACCCUCAGGAACAGUGAAGUUAUACAUUUGUUGUUUCUAGCUUCUAUGUUUUGGGGUAUGUAUUUGUUACAUAGCAAUAGAUAACUGACACAUAUUUUGGGGUCACAGACUGAUAUGGUUUGGAUCUGUGUCCCCACUCAAAUCUCAUGUCUGGUGUAGUUCCCAGUGUUAGAGUUAGGACCUGGUAGGAGGUAAUUAGAUCUGGGGGCGGUUUCUAAUGGCUUAACACCAUCCCCCUUGGAGCAGUCAUCAUGAUGGUGAAUUCUCAUGGGAUCUGGUUGUUUAAAAGUGUAUAAUACCUCCCCACCUCUCUUUCUCCUGCUCCAGCCAUGUAAGAUGUGCCUGCUUCCCCUUGGCCACCUGCAAUGAUUAUAACUUUCCUGAGGCCUCCCAAGCCAUGGUUCCUGUACAGCCUGCAGAACUGUGGGAGGACUGAUUGCCUCUGCCUCGCCAGCGUGAUUAUUGCAGCACAUACGGUUCAGAGCUGCCGAGAAAAGUAAUGGAUCUGCCCGAAUUAGCGCCUGACUUGGGAUUUUCUUGCCCAUGUGACCAAGAAUUGGUCAAAGUCACAGACAUCUUUAGCAGCAACUCUUGGGAAGAAUGUGAUUGACUUGUCAGGAUUCUUGGUAAGUGCAUUUCAUUUAGUUUUUGCUAAAAAUGGACUCCAGUGGUCAAUGGAUUUACCACAUUGAAAUGACCCUGAAUAACACCUUCCUUGUAGAUGUAUUUGUACUUCUAUGCCAACACGGCUCUGGCAGUAUCACAGUGAAGGGUGACUGCUUUGUGUGUAUUUUCUUUGAAAGCUAGAGGUCAGGUAACCACUGCCAGAAUCCUGACACUGUUAUCUGCUUGCAGAAGAACUAGUUGGGCCUGGGGGGAGACACAUUUUGGGAGCUGUGAUACAGCGAAAGCACUGGCCUAAGGUGCCUGAGAAGUUGUGGCUAAAAUUGGAGAAGGUAGAAGAGUGAUUAAAUAAAUAAAUAAAUAAAAGCCGAUCAGUGCUAGAGAUAGACAUUGUUUUGUACUCAGAAAGACCUGAAUGGAAAUCCUGGCUCAUAUACUUUAGAUGUGUAGCUUCAGACAAAUUACUUAACCCCUCUAAAGCUCAUUUCUUAAUCAUCUGCAUAAUUGGACCUCCAUUGCACCUAGGUUAUAGAAGAACUGGCUUUGUUUUGUUUUGUUUUGAAGAGAGAAUCUCACUGUUCUGUCACCUAGGCUGGAGUGCGGUGGCACGAUCUUGGCUUGCUGCAGCCUCCACCUCCUGGGUUCAAGACAUUUUCAUGCCUGAGCCUCCCGAGUAGCUAAGAUUAUAGGCGUGCAUAACCACACCCAGCUAAUUUUUGUAAUUUUAGUAGAGAUAGGGUUUCGCCAUGUUGGCCAGACUGGUCUCCAACUCUUGGCCUCAAAUGAUCUGCCUACCUCAGCCUCCCAAAGUGCUGGGAUUACAAGCGUCAGCCACUGUGCCUGGCAUGCUGUGAUUUCUAUAAUGAAAUGAUGGAUACAUAGGACUUGAUGUAAGUUUUGGCACAAAAUAGACAUUUACUGAUGAUGUUUGUUUUAGUGAAUAGCUUAAGUACAAAUAAUUUUUGCUUACAUUAGGUAAGCGGGAAGAUCAGGAGAUUGUAUAAACACAGUUAGCGUGUCAAUGUAUAUCAGUGUACACUGAAUUCUAACAAACUGCCUACUCACUAAUGUCUUGUUUUGUGCCUAUAAUUGGGGAAAAGAAGACAAGACCUAUAUCAUGAAAGCUACAUUUUCUUGUAGUAAUUGUGCCUUUCACAAAAUUUUUCUUUUUCUUUUUUGUUUUUUUUGAGACAGAGUCUCACUCCAUUGCCCAGGCAGGAGUGCAGUGCUGCAAUCUCAGUUCACUGAAACCUUCAUCUCCUAGGUUCAAGUUAUUCCCCUGCCUCAACCUCCCAAGUAGCUGGGACUACAGGCAUGUGUCACCACACCCAGCUAAUUUUUGUAUUUUUAGUAGAGACGGGGUUUCACCAUAUUGGCCAAGCUGUUCUCACACUCCAGACCUCUUGAUCCACCCACCUCAGCCUUCCAAAGUGCUGGGAUUACAGGCAUGAGCCACCGCAUUCGGCCUCACAAUCUUUUCAAUGAUGACAGCACAAAAUAUGGAGCCCAUGACUCUGAAUUUUUGUAUUUUGGUUGGGCUCUGCAGCCUUUAGACUUACAGACAAAUAGUUAAUGUUUAGGCAAGAAUUGCUUGGCCAGGUUAGGCUCUGAUGGUUUCAGGUCCACUCAAAUUCAUUCUCUUCAAUCGGCCUUAUCUUCUAGGUGUUAAAACCAAUACUCUGAGUAUGAGUUGUGCAGUUGGAAUAAAGAACCUCCCUCAACACAAUGCAAGGUCUCUUUCUUCUACACUAACUUGCUGAUGAUUGUAAGUGAAGAGAUAAAAGUAAAUGCACUCGUGUAUCUAUCACUAGUUAAUGAAUUAUAAAUAAUCCCUCUAGGUAGACAGAUUGUCAUUUCUGUGGCUAAAUUUGGAGGGAGUCAGCUAGAAAUUUAGGAUAAAAAUCACAAUUUCUUGAGCCCUGUAGAAUUUUUAUGGAGGCUUUUGUUUGUUUUUGUCACUUGAGUUAUCUGAAAGUCAAUCUUGUUUGGCUUUUAACUAAACGAUACCUUCCCGUAAACCCACGUCGCUCAGUUACAUGCAUUUUUGAAAACUGAAACUCAUAGAGGACACGUUACUGGUUCCAGUGCUUUGGCUAAUGAGGACAUGCCCUGAGAGGAGCUGGGGUUAAUGGUGGUGUUUCUGGGCUAGGGCUGUGUCAUCUUUUUUCCUGUCCAAGCGUGUAGAGUCAUGACAGCUAUGAAGGACGAUUAUGACUUUAAGCAAAGACAUUCCUGGGAGAGCCACCCCUCUAAAAAUGGAAAUAAGUAGGCAGGGCAAGAAUCUCUAAAAGGCUUCUGAUUUUCUCACCCCAGCCAUGCUUAUUCCAGUAGUUAAAGGUCCUAGAAAAAUUACACCUUCGUCUUUCUUCUCACUUAUCAACUGUCUGAGCAUGUUUCUGAUUGAGUACUUGCAGAAUUUGAAAAUGCUGAGUCGGCUGGGCUGCUAAGAAUGGGAAGAGAAGUAAAAUAAACCUUGACAAAAUUGACCCUGACCCCUGCUGAUGAAAAAUACAGCCCAAUGUGGCCACAGCACAGGUUCGAAGGGUGGUUCUUCUGUGAACUAGCUGUCAUUUACCAGACGUAAAAAACACUGUCGGUCCACAGCUGAAUCUGGCCAACAGAGAUCUCCAGUUUAGCUAGGAAGAGUGUGGGAUUGUAUUUUUUAUUGCAGGAAGCCCUCUUUAGUUCACCACCGGUUCUUGUCUUCACUGUGGCCUCGACAUUCCCUUCCAGCUUGAUCUGUGUCUGUCACCUGACUCUCCCUGGAGCUAUGUAAGUCUAUAACCACCUUCAGCCUCAUUUUCCUCAACUGCCAAAUGUGAACCAAGCCUGUUUCCCAGGGUUGUUGUGAGAGUCUCCUGUGACAGUGUGGAUGACAUGGCCAGAAGUGGCUGGGACUUCAUGAGCUCAGUGCGCUUCUUUCUUUCUUCUUUUCCUUUUUCUUGCUUUCCCUUUUCUCUUGCCCCUUUUCUCAUUCUUGUUUUCCUCUUCUUUGUGGUGUUUGCAUAGUUAUUUGAUCUCGUUGCUAGACUUUGAGCAAGUUUUUUUUUUUUAGUCCAUGGAAGCUCUGGGUUAUUCUUGUUGGUCCUGAAGUGAGAGUCGUACUAAAUAUGUCCUCUGCUUCUCCACAAUUAUCUAAAAGGCACAAAAGUGAUUAAACACUGAGUCAGUCAUGCCCUGAGUUAAGUCUAGAUUUGACCCUGAUCCACAUUAAUUCGGAAGAUGGUUGAAGAUGAUGACCCUGCAUGCAUUUUGCUUGGGGGAUCUUAAAGUUAGUGAAAUUAAACUGCCCCACUGUGAUGGUUAAUACCGAGUGUCAACUUGGUUGGGUUGAAGGAUGUAAAGUAUUGAUCCUGGGUGUGUCUGUGAGGGUGUUGCCAAAGGAGGUUAGCAUUUGAGUCAGUGGGGCUGGGAGAGGCAGACCCACCCUUUAAUUUGGGUGGGCUCCAUCUAAUCAGCUGCCAGUGAAGCUAGAAUACAAAGCAGGCAGAAAAAUGCGGACAGAAAAAAAAAGAAAAGGACUGGCCUAGUCUCCUAGCCUACAUCUUUCUCCCUUGCUGGAUGCUUCCUGCCCUUGAACAUUGGAUUCCAAGUUCUUCAGUUCUGGGACUGGCUCUCCUUGCACCUCAGCUUAUAGACCCCCUAUUGUGGGACCUUGUGAUCAUGCAAAUUUAUACUUAAUAAACUCUAUCUAUCUAUCUAUCUAUCUAUCUAUCUAUCUAUCUAUCUAUCUAUCUAUCCAUACAUGUAUAUAUAUAGAGAGAGAGUUUAUUAAGUAUAAACUUGCAUUAUAUAUAGAGAGAGUUUAUUUUAUAUAUAUAUAUGCAAUGAAUAUAUUAUUGAGUAGCAAUGCUGACCUUGGCAUUGUAAAAAAGAGGCAAGAAGACACAGCUGUAGUAUUCACAUGCCCUGGAAGGAGGGAAGGAGAGCCUUCUUUGAGAGCUGGGUGUAACACCUGAUUUGGAUACCUACUAGCUGUGACCUUGGAAAUGCUCUUUAAUUUUCUUAAGCAUUACUUCUCUCAUUUGCAUGGUAAAGAGAAUUAUUUCUGAAUUUCCACUGUUAAAACAUGAGCUCUGAAUGAAGAAACCCCCAAACAGGCUUUGUGUGAGCAACAUGGCUGUUUAUUCACCUGAGUGCAGGCGGGCUGAGGCAGAAAAGGGCGUCAGUCAAUGGCAGUGGGAUAGGAGUUGGUUUUGUAGGUUUGGGGUGGGCAGUGGAAAAUUACAGUUUAGGGUGGUGUUUUGCAAGCUGGGAGGGGGUCGUAGGUUUGCAAGCUGGGAAGGGGUCAUAGGGUGUGGAGUCAUGAGGUUGACCCUGUCGGUUACAAAGUCCAAUAGCUUUAUUAAUUGCGGUGGGAAUAAGGAGCAAUAGAGAACUUAAAGUUAAGUAGGCGGCUGCAGGGGUUGAUAAUUUCUUCCUCUUUUCAUGGUCUUCCAGUUACUUUAGAUUUUCCAGGAACUCAUCUGGACUCUCGGUGCAGGUCACAGAGGUUAACAUGGUGUCCAUAGGGCUGUCUGGCAGCCCAGAAGACCUUACAUUCACUUCAAAAGUUUAUUUUGAAUUUCCAAAUAUAGAAGGUUUAGUCCAACAACAGUGUUUAAUAUGCACCUUCUAUGUGCAGGGUAUAUUAUGCCUGGCACCAGAGACUCAAAGAUGAAUACAGCAAGAGCAUGCUACAUAUGCUAAAUGAUGAACUAUCGCAUUUACGUAAAAGAAUACAUCAUUGUUAUUAUAACCCAAAGGGCUGUCCCCUUCUCCCUGGAAAUACAUCUGUUAUCUCCUCUGUCACCCAUGCAGCUCAGAGCUCUAGGAUUUAUUUCUCUCACUAGUUACAACAGCACAUAGUACAUUAUACAAGGAUGAUUAUUUAAAAUAGUGCUUCUGAAAUGGUUUAUUCAUAUGUAUACAUAUAUGAGUUUCAGGGGGUGACUUACAUCUUGUUCUUGAGAAAGAAUCAUGACCCAUGAGGAAAAGUAUAACACAGAAUAUCAUGAAGCCAGGGCUGAAUUCAAACUGCUUUAUCCCCAACUUUCUGUAAGGUCCUGGAGUACUCAUUUAAUUUUUCUGAGUUUGAAUUUCCUGUACUCAGGGAAGAAGAAUCUUGCCCCGACCACUCCAGAUGUUUCCCAUGGAAUAAAGAUGGUGAUGGGUAUAGAUGUGUUUUUAAAAAAUUGUCAGUGACAGAAAGGUAAAGGUUAGCAGCAGGACUGACACCUAAUUUUGGCCUUUACUUGGGACACCUGGGGAAGAAAGAAAUGAACCAGGAAAAUUCCCUUGCAAGCUCACGAGUAAGCAGAUUUCCUGGAAACCACAAAUAGUGUUUACUAGCAGAAGAUAAAGAACAGUCCUCAACUAUUAACUACUUUUAGCAGAAUAUACCCAGUCUGUGUCAGUGGUUUAUUGUAAACAAACCUGAAAUCUAUGAAUACAUGAGACACAGCUCACUGGAAAAUGUCACAUGGCUAUGUAAUUUGUUUGCUAAUUGCUGUGUCUUACUAUUGCUCAAGUGUGAAUCAAAAGCAAACUUGGUCCUAGGUAUUACCAGCGAUUCAUGUUGAAUCUCAUUUGCAUUGUCUUUGUGUUAUAACAGGUGCCAUCCUAGGUAAGGCAGAAAAAGGCAUAGGUGGAAAAAGGAGAUGCCCCAUAGCUGAAUUGGCUCCUCUGUUCGAGCAAAGUACAAUAUGCAGUUGUUAAACCUCACAUGGGAAGUCUGAACCAGAACAACCUUGGUGCAGGAGAAAACAAACAUUUGGAGGCAGUGUUGAUCGUCUUGACCUCUCUGAUGGAACACUGCUCGGCAGUGUCUUGCUAUUUCUGGUAAACCUUGAAUCAGAAGUAAAUUUGUUACUCAGCAUCACCAAUGGCCCAAGAUGAGUGUCUCAUUUGCAUUAUCUUUGUGCUUUCUCACGUGUCCCUCACAGACAAGGCAUUGUUUGUACAUCAUUUUCGGACAUCACUGAGGGAGUUUCUGUAAAACCCAAUCUAAUCUUUAAGAUAAAGCUUUUGUGUAUGUGUGAGAUAUAAGUACAUGAGACUUAUGCCAAAUGGCUUCUUUGGGCACAGGCCUAGGAUGCUGGGGCUUUGCUGACUCUGUGAUAAUCAAAGAAGCACCAAGUUAGAAACAGCUCCGGGGGCAGUGGGGAGGAAGACUUGGUCACAUGGUCUACCCAGUGGGUGUGGUCACCAAUGUCUGCAGGCUGUCUUUAACCCUGUAGCCAUAUUCCACCUGGUCAUUCUUUAUUUUUGGAUCUCCCUUCCCAGGAUCCCCCCCCCCCCUGCAGCCUCCAAAACAGUCUCCUCUGAGGUCUAUUAGAACAGUAGCAUCCCCCCUAUUUCCUCCCUUCCUGUCAUUGAUCUUGACUUACCUGCAGCAGGAAUGAGGAAAGCCUGGACUCCCCUCCCAAGUGCCCUGCCCCUCGGCUCCCUUUUUUCACACCUUGCCCAUUGCCAUUUGGAAAGGCAAGGGAUAGAGGCAAAGUUAGAUGCAACAAGUAGAUAUUUUUCUUAGUCUAGGUAAUGUUCUUUAGGGUAAUUAACCCAAAAAGUCAAGAAAGAAAGAUUUUAUCUUAUUGGAAUAUGCAAAGUCUCACUUUUGCAAACCCCAGACAGAAAAAGAAUUGGAGAGAACAGUGGCUCUCUUCCUUAGCUCUCUACCUUGACUGUAGAAUUUUCAAUGGUGCUUUGAAAAAAAAUCUAUUCCUGGGCCCCAUCCAGACUAGUCAAAUUAGAAUUUCUGAGUGAGGCCCAGGCAUGGGAUUUUUAAUUUGUUUUCCAGGUGAUUUUAAUGGGUAGCUGUAGUUGCAGACCACUGGGGUAGCAAUUUUGUGGCCAUUUGCUAUUGUCUUUAUGAGCAAAGUCAGGCAGUAAGAGCAUUUCAGGGCAUAAAAUGGCUCAGGUCUAAAAUGUUUUCUAUUGUAAGAUCAGCUAUGUAAAAUGAAAACCCAGUGCCAACCAGGGCAUUAAGUCAGCCCAUGUAUAAGAUAAUUUCUUCUGAAGUUUUUGGCACUAACAAGUCCUGAGAUGGUAUUUUCCAGUGAGAAUGGGCUUAAUGACCUGAGUACAUCUAUAUGCCAGAGAAAUAACCUGAUUGACUUCUCCCUUUUCAAGUUUAUCAACUUGAAGAGGAUAUUAAUAUUUUUUUCCAUUUUAACAAUGUGCCUUACAAGUGGAACAUUAUGAACAAGUGUGAGAUCCAUAUUAUUUCAGGGACAUGACCGUGCACACCUCCUUCCCACUCAUGGAGGAGCUGACACCACUAUUCUCAGGAGAAAAAUCACAGAAUUUCUAUGGUAUUCCAGAAAUUUUGAACUCUGGAGCCAACUGGAUCACAUUAAGGACCCAAGGGGGAGACAUAUUUGUACUCAAUGUCUGCACAUUAGCAAUUUCUCUCUACAUAAUUUUGCUCUUAAGGACGAUAGAAUGAGGUCCACUUUAAUUAAAUGCAUAAGGAACACCAAUCCACUUUGAAAGGCACCACUAAUCCACUUACUGGUCGCCAAGUUAUGCAGAUACUAAUGAGACUUUCAAGAGAACAGGCAUAAGAGGAAGACAAUUUACAGGAAAUAUGCUUGGAACAGGUGCUCUAUUGUAUAUAUUCCUCAUGGUCAAUGGCUACCAAGCAACGCCGAAGUUAGUUCAUUGUGCCCUGCCUCACUUACGGCUGUGUCUUCUUUAGCGGGUUAUUUAUGUAAUAGAAGCAGAAUCUGGUAAGUAAAGUAAGAAAUUGUGGAUCUGUUUACAAUUUGGUUUCCGUGCUCAAUUGCACAUCAGUUUGGUCUGCAGUUAAUAAACUUUUAUGUAUGUAUUCCAA
Callithrix jacchus (white-tufted-ear marmoset) is the source of this 20388-nucleotide long non-coding RNA. RefSeq lists it as uncharacterized. NCBI's taxonomy places the organism in Eukaryota, Metazoa, Chordata, Mammalia, Primates, Cebidae. The record is from RefSeq and is a predicted model, not a curated record.